This 910-nucleotide ribosomal RNA is filed under the name crenarchaeote enrichment culture clone 61-43f. Its description in RNAcentral is "bacterial SSU rRNA". It matches the Rfam family "Archaeal small subunit ribosomal RNA", at positions 1 to 879 of the family's 1478-position model. Lineage: Archaea; Thermoproteati; Thermoproteota. The record is from RNAcentral.
UUCUGGUUGAUCCUGCCGGACCCUACUGCUAUCGGGAUGGGACUAAGACAUGCUAGUCGUGCGCUUCUAAGCCAUGGUGGAGGCGCGGCGCACAGCUCAGUAACACGUGGUUAACCUGCCCUUGGGACGGAAACACCCCCGGGAAACUGGGGCUAAUUUCCGAUAGGUGAAGACUCCUGGAAUGGAUCUUCGCCUAAAGGGCGCUUAGGGCCAUGCUUCUAGGCGCUGCCCAAGGAUGGGACCGCGGCCGAUCAGGUUGUUGGUGAGGUAAUGGCUCACCAAGCCUUUAACCGGUUCGGGCCGUGGGAGCGGGAGCCCGGAGAUGGGCACUGAGACAAGGGCCCAGGUCCUACGGGGCGCAGCAGUCGCGAAAACUCCGCAAUACGCGAAGGCGUGACGGGGCUAUCCCGAGUGCCGUCCGCUGAGGAUGGCUUUUCCCCAGUGUAGAUAGCUGGGGGAAUAAGGAGAGGGCAAGUCUGGUGUCAGCCGCCGCGGUAAUACCAGCUCUCCGAGUGGUGGGGGACGUUUAUUGGGGCCUGAAGCAUCCGUAGCCAGCUGAGCAAGUCCCCCAGUUUAAAUCCAGCGAUUUAAUCGUUUGGACUGCUGGGGGAUACUGUCCCGGCUUGGGGGUGGGAGAGGCCGACGGUAUUCCCGGGGUAGGGGUGAAAUCCUAUAAUCCCGGGAGGACCACCAGUGGCGAAGGCUGUUGGCUAAAACAUGCCCGACGGUGAGGGAUGAAAGCUGGGGGAGCGAACCGGAUUAGAUACCCGGGUAGUCCCAGCUGUAAACGAUGCAGGCUAGGUGUUAGGGCGGCCACGUGCCGCUCUAGUGCCGCAGGGAAGCUGUUAAGCCUGCCGCCUGGGGAGUACGGCCGCAAGGCUGAAACUUAAAGGAAUUGGCGGGGGAGCAC